Molecule: long non-coding RNA, 346 nt
Filed under: Apteryx owenii (little spotted kiwi)
Lineage: Eukaryota; Metazoa; Chordata; Aves; Apterygiformes; Apterygidae
Description: lncRNA (ENSAOWG00000010214.1)
Source: RNAcentral
CUCCACAGUCGGGGUCAUCGUGACCUACGACUGAAACUUGCUUGAUGAAAGACUCCACUAAGAAAACGCUUUUGUAUUCUCAUGGAGAGCACAGGCUUGGAUGCUCUGCUUCGUUGAGGCUUCUGUUCAAACAAAUAAGGAGGUCUAUGUGCAUGUGUGCGUGUAAGAGUGAUGGGCCGCAGGCUUUGUCAUGUGUCGUCUGAGUCUUUGCUACGCUAACCUGAACUCCCACAGCAAGGUCCCACAUGUAAAAGAGCAGUGUUCUUGGAGAAAUCAGCUUGACCACCAUGAGAACGGUGCAUAGAUGGGAACAUGCUGUAUUUUGGGAGUGGGUGGGAGGUUCCAG